UCCGCCGUAGGGUAAUUGGCAGCCCACCGUCUUUUGGUGUCGGGAUGUCCUGGUUCGAGUCCAGGCGGCGGAAC
RNAcentral lists this transfer RNA (74 nucleotides) under Planomonospora antibiotica. RNAcentral's name for it is "Planomonospora parontospora subsp. antibiotica tRNA-Gln". It matches the Rfam family "tRNA". From Rfam's summary of the family: Transfer RNA (tRNA) molecules are approximately 80 nucleotides in length. Their secondary structure includes four short double-helical elements and three loops (D, anti-codon, and T loops). Lineage: Bacteria; Bacillati; Actinomycetota; Actinomycetes; Streptosporangiales; Streptosporangiaceae. The record is from RNAcentral.